AUACGUAGGGGGCGAGCGUUGUCCGGAAUUAUUGGGCGUAAAGCGCGCGCAGGCGGCCGAUUAAGUCAGGUGUGAAAGGCUGCGGCUCAACCGCAGAGUUGCAUCUGAAACUGGUCGGCUUGAGUGCAGGAGAGGGGAGCGGAAUUCCCGGUGUAGCGGUGGAAUGCGUAGAGAUCGGGAGGAACACCAGUGGCGAAGGCGGCUCUCUGGCCUGUAACUGACGCUGAGGCGCGAAAGCGUGGGGAGCGAACAGGAUUAGAUACCCUGGUAGUCCACGCCGUAAACGAUGAGUGCUAGGUGCUGGGGGCAUCAGGCCCUCUGUGCCGAAGGAAACCCAAUAAGCACUCCGCCUGGGGAGUACGGCCGCAAGGCUGAA
RNAcentral lists this ribosomal RNA (376 nucleotides) under uncultured bacterium. Its description in RNAcentral is "bacterial SSU rRNA". It matches the Rfam family "Bacterial small subunit ribosomal RNA", at positions 523 to 898 of the family's 1533-position model. The record is from RNAcentral.